GACGAACGCUGGCGGCGUGCUUAACACAUGCAAGUCGAACGAAGAGCGAUGGAAGCUUGCUUCUAUCAAUCUUAGUGGCGAACGGGUGAGUAACGCGUAAUCAACCUGCCCUUCAGAGGGGGACAACAGUUGGAAACGACUGCUAAUACCGCAUACGAUCUAAUCUCGGCAUCGAGGAUAGAUGAAAGGUGGCCUCUACAUGUAAGCUAUCACUGAAGGAGGGGAUUGCGUCUGAUUAGCUAGUUGGAGGGGUAACGGCCCACCAAGGCGAUGAUCAGUAGCCGGUCUGAGAGGAUGAACGGCCACAUUGGGACUGAGACACGGCCCAGACUCCUACGGGAGGCAGCAGUGGGGAAUCUUCCGCAAUGGACGAAAGUCUGACGGAGCAACGCCGCGUGAGUGAUGACGGCCUUCGGGUUGUAAAGCUCUAUUAAUCGGGACGAAAGGCCUUCUUGCGAAUAGUGAGAAGGAUUGACGGUACCGGAAUAGAAAGCCACGGCUAACUACGUG
RNAcentral lists this ribosomal RNA (510 nucleotides) under uncultured bacterium. RNAcentral's name for it is "partial 16S ribosomal RNA". It matches the Rfam family "Bacterial small subunit ribosomal RNA", at positions 28 to 507 of the family's 1533-position model. The record is from RNAcentral.